This 760-nucleotide ribosomal RNA is filed under the name uncultured bacterium. RNAcentral describes it as "bacterial SSU rRNA". It matches the Rfam family "Bacterial small subunit ribosomal RNA", at positions 8 to 756 of the family's 1533-position model. The record is from RNAcentral.
AGAGUUUGAUCCUGGCUCAGGAUGAACGCUAGCGAUAGGCCUAACACAUGCAAGUCGAGGGGCAGCACAUGAGUAGCAAUACGAUGGUGGCGACCGGCGCACGGGUGAGUAACACGUAUGCAACCUACCUUUAACAGGGGAAUAACCCGUUGAAAAACGGACUAAUACUCCAUAACACAGGGGUCCCGCAUGGGAAUAUUUGUUAAAGAUUUAUCGGUUGAAGACGGGCAUGCGUUCCAUUAGCUUGUUGGUGAGGUAACGGCUCACCAAGGCUACGAUGGAUAGGGGAACUGAGAGGUUUAUCCCCCACACUGGAACUGAGACACGGUCCAGACUCCUACGGGAGGCAGCAGUGAGGAAUAUUGGUCAAUGGAGGCAACUCUGAACCAGCCAAGUCGCGUGAAGGAUGAAGGUCUUAUGGAUUGUAAACUUCUUUUGCAAGGGAAUAAAGUGGGGGACGUGUCCUCCUUUGCAUGUACCUUGCGAAUAAGGAUCGGCUAACUCCGUGCCAGCAGCCGCGGUAAUACGGAGGAUCCGAGCGUUAUCCGGAUUUAUUGGGUUUAAAGGGUGCGCANGCGGGAUGUUAAGUCGGCGGUGAAAUUUUGCAGCUCAACUGUAAAAGUGCCUUCGAUACUGGCUUUCUUGAGUGUGGAUGAAAGUANGCGGAAUUUGUGGUGUAGCCGGUGAAAUGCUUAGAUAUCACGAGGAACUUCCAUUUGCGCAGGCAGCUUACUAAACCACUACUGACGCUCAUGCCCAA